UCCGCUAUCUGUUAUAUAGAGAGGCUCCAACGCUUACACCCUGAGACUUUAGAACAAUUGUCUCAUUAUCAGAAGCCUCAGCAGGAGUUUUGGGCCACCUGACACACAGGAAUCAUGAAGUUUCUGGUAAUCAUGUGUGUGUUCGCCGCGAGCGUACAUUUCACAGAGCCCUUUUUGCACCAAAUUCUUGCCAUUGGACCUUCUGGCGUUGUGAAACCGAUGGCGGUUGAUCUCAAUCCUUUGUACCAGUUCAUGAAGUACCAAAGAUUCCUCGCUGGCCACAGAAUACAGAACCUUGAUAAAAGGUACAGGUUGAGCCUUGAGGCAGCCAACGACAACGUUGCGAUGGCUGACAAGGAGGUCAUCUCAAAGGAUGGCAAUAAGGUGCAGCUCUCUGACCGAGAACUUUCCCGCACCAAACGCUCCGUUCUGGAGUGGCCUUUGCAGUGGUCCCGCUUCCGCAAGACUGAAUAAAGACAUUAUUCCAGAAAUUAAGCCAGCUACAAAACAAUCAACGGUUUAGACUUGUUGAACCACGGGACUUCCAAGGUGCAAACCGCGAAAGUUUGAACCUGACAUACUGUGAGUGGCAAACCGACCUCCAGUGCGGUUCAGUGUUGUUCGGACAUCAGCGGAGGAUGGAUGUGGCAAAUUUCUUGCUGAGGGAAUCCCAUUCUUCGUAGACGCCAUUAGCUACAGUUACCCAGGCUUUAUCUUUUGCCAUUCUAUCUUUAUACUGAUCACAAUCCUUGUCCCAGAUAGCAGGCUGUUGUUCUACCAUAGAAAUAAUCACUUCCGCAGACAUAUUCAAAAAGUUCACAAUUGAUAUCUGUAUAUUAUUUCUGAAAAACAAACAGGAGUGUGAGCGAGAAACAAAGUGCACCUGAUGAAUGCUUCAAAGCUACUGCAGAUCAAAGUCAUCACAGGCAGGGUUGCCAACUUUGGAAUUACAAUAUUACUGAAUGAUACUAUUUUCUUGUUAGUUUAAAGUCACUUCUACCCAUAUUGAUGAGAUUUGUAUUAAUAGUGAAGCAAUGAAAAUAUAAGGAAAUAAUAGAAGUGAUACAUUGAGAUUUUCAACAUACUUACAUUAGUAGAAAUAUAUAUAUAUAUAUAUAUAUAUAUAUAUAUAUAUAUAUAUAUAUAUAUAUAUAUAUAUAUAUAUAUAUAUAUAUAUAUAUAUAUAUAUAUAUAUAUAUAUAUAUAUAUACCAGAGAAGAUUAGUGUUUUUCCCGCCGCCGCGCACGGCAUAGUAUGUCAGUAGCCAUAGCUUAACAUGUGUUGACUCUGAAAACCGCGACCGCGCGCGGUCGCGGUUUUGAUUUUUCCCGCCAACAUUUGCGGCAGAAAAAAAUCAGACAACGGCAACCGCGACCGCGCGCGGCGUCGGUUUCUCUAGUAUGUCAGGUCCCAUAGGAUAACACAUGCUGGCGGUUUUUUUUUUCACCGCUGCCGCGCGCGGCAACGGUUUGCCGCGUCUAGUAUGUCACUACACUAAGGAUGGUAGCAUCACAACACUAACCGACCAAGGGCUUUCUCGCCUCAACCGUAGCAUCGAUGGUUACGAGAGAGUACCAAAUAACCACUUUUGGAAGAGUUUACUCUCUCAUCUUGAAAUGAGUCCGUUUGAAAAGAAACAUCACCGAGAUCACGUAUUACAAACUAAAGAGAUAAAAAAUUAACCCAUAAAUCUACAUUUAUAAAAUACCUUACUUUUAUUUCUGAAGAACAUAUAUUUCCAACAUAUAACAAACACACGCAUAACGUUACAAAUGUCGAUGAAGACUGAAAACUAAUGGUAUCUAAUGAGAUAACAACAUACAGCCAUUUUUUUUCUUCUUACUUCUUUCUGGUCCCUAAUUCAUUAGGUUACUAUUAUGUAAUAUAUGCAAUAUCUGUUUUAUAUAAGGUAAAUUCUGUUAUUGGGUAAAAAAAAAAUCAACUCCUAGGAGAGAAAAGAUUUUUUCUUUUUUAAGUAAGAUUAGUAAUUAUCCAAGAGCAACAAAAUUAUUAAAAAAAAAAGGCCGCUGACGUGCCGGUCGCUAAACAAAGCAAAUGGAGAGAGGACUCCUUGGCUGGUAUAUGAGUUAUCUUUUUUUUUUUUAUUUCAAAUGAAGAAUGUAUGUGUAGCUAGGAGCAUAUAGUUUUGUGUGAAGAUAGAUUGUCUUUAGAAGGCAGGAUGUGACUGCCCCCUGUGUUGUGAGACAUAAAAUGACACAACUGACUUUUAUUCUUAUCAAAGUUAAAAAAAAUUUAAAUACAUUACUGUUAGCUGAAAAUAAGUCCAUUACCUGUAGCAAAAAACUGUCUGUAUGAUUUUCUUGGUAUUUAAGAGUUUGACUUAUCUAUGUUGAUUAUAUUCUUAUGUUUGCAAAAA
RNA transcript from Portunus trituberculatus (swimming crab), 2377 nucleotides. RefSeq lists it as uncharacterized. NCBI's taxonomy places the organism in Eukaryota, Metazoa, Arthropoda, Malacostraca, Decapoda, Portunidae. The transcript has 3 exons. The record is from RefSeq and is a predicted model, not a curated record.